Molecule: ribosomal RNA, 500 nt
Filed under: uncultured bacterium
Lineage: Bacteria
Description: partial 16S ribosomal RNA
Rfam family: Bacterial small subunit ribosomal RNA
Source: RNAcentral
ACUCAAAGGAAUUGACGGGGACCCGCACAAGCGGUGGAGCAUGUUGUUUAAUUCGAAGCAACGCGAAGAACCUUACCUACACUUGACAUGCCCUUUAGGACUUUCAGAGAUGAUUGUUUUCAGUUCGGCUGGGAGGAGCACAGGUGCUGCAUGGCUGUCGUCAGCUCGUGUCGUGAGAUGUUGGGUUAAGUCCCGCAACGAGCGCAACCCUUAUCGUAUGUUGCCAGCAUUUAGUUGGGCACUCAUGCGAGACUGCCGGUGAUAAGCCGGAGGAAGGCGGGGACGACGUCAAGUCAUCAUGGCCCUUACGUGUAGGGCUACAAACGUGCUACAAUGGCGUUAACAAUGGGCAGCGAGGUCGCGAGGCCAAGCUAAUCCUUAAAAAACGUCUCAGUUCAGAUUGUACUCUGCAACUCGAGUACAUGAAGUUGGAAUCGCUAGUAAUCGCAAAUCAGCAUGUUGCGGUGAAUACGUUCCCGGGUCUUGCACACACCGCCCGU